AGGCGCUCGUGAAAGCGGCGGGAAUCUCGCGCGGAUUUCACGAGGCGGGGAUUCGGCGCGGAUAACGGAGAAAUAACGUCAAAUACUGUCGAAGUUUGUGUGUAAAUAUAAAUAGAGUGAAAGUCCGAGCCGGAGAGCCGCAGCGCCCCCGCCGGUAACCUCACGGGAACCUCUCCAGCGACACACCGGCGAUCAGCGGAACUCGGUGAAGGAUGGCCGCCUCAGUGAAGGUAGCGGUGAGAGUUCGGCCCUUUAACUCCCGCGAAACCAGCCGAGAUGCUAAAUGUGUCAUACACAUGCAGGGAAACACCACCUGCAUCUGGAACCCCAAACAGCCCAAAGAAGCAGCCAAGAACUUCAGCUUUGACUAUUCGUACUGGUCUCAUAGCACGGUAAGAU
Molecule: long non-coding RNA, 399 nt
Organism: Sinocyclocheilus anshuiensis
Lineage: Eukaryota; Metazoa; Chordata; Actinopteri; Cypriniformes; Cyprinidae
Exons: 3
Source: RefSeq, a predicted model, not a curated record